AACGCUAGCUACAGGCUUAACACAUGCAAGUCGAGGGGCAUCAGGAAGAAAGCUUGCUUUCUUUGCUGGCGACCGGCGCACGGGUGAGUAACACGUAUCCAACCUGCCCUUUACUCGGGGAUAGCCUUUCGAAAGAAAGAUUAAUACCCGAUAGCAUAAUGAUUCCGCAUGGUUUCAUUAUUAAAGGAUUCCGGUAAAGGAUGGGGAUGCGUUCCAUUAGGUUGUUGGUGAGGUAACGGCCCACCAAGCCUUCGAUGGAUAGGGGUUCUGAGAGGAAGGUCCCCCACAUUGGAACUGAGACACGGUCCAAACUCCUACGGGAGGCAGCAGUGAGGAAUAUUGGUCAAUGGGCGCUAGCCUGAACCAGCCAAGUAGCGUGAAGGAUGAAGGCUCUAUGGGUCGUAAACUUCUUUUAUAUAAGAAUAAAGUGCAGUAUGUAUACUGUUUUGUAUGUAUUAUAUGAAUAAGGAUCGGCUAACUCCGUGCCAGCAGCCGCGGUAAUACGGAGGAUCCGAGCGUUAUCCGGAUUUAUUGGGUUUAAAGGGAGCGUAGGUGGACUGGUAAGUCAGUUGUGAAAGUUUGCGGCUCAACCGUAAAAUUGCAGUUGAUACUGUCAGUCUUGAGUACAGUAGAGGUGGGCGGAAUUCGUGGUGUAGCGGUGAAAUGCUUAGAUAUCACGAAGAACUCCGAUUGCGAAGGCAGCUCACUGGACUGCAACUGACACUGAUGCUCGAAAGUGUGGGUAUCAAACAGGAUUAGAUACCCUGGUAGUCCACACAGUAAACGAUGAAUACUCGCUGUUUGCGAUAUACAGUAAGCGGCCAAGCGAAAGCAUUAAGUAUUCCACCUGGGGAGUACGCCGGCAACGGUGAAACUCAAAGGAAUUGACGGGGGCCCGCACAAGCGGAGGAACAUGUGGUUUAAUUCGAUGAUACGCGAGGAACCUUACCCGGGCUUAAAUUGCAGUGGAAUGAUGUGGAAACAUGUCAGUGAGCAAUCACCGCUGUGAAGGUGCUGCAUGGUUGUCGUCAGCUCGUGCCGUGAGGUGUCGGCUUAAGUGCCAUAACGAGCGCAACCCUUAUCUUUAGUUACUAACAGGUUAUGCUGAGGACUCUGGAGAGACUGCCGUCGUAAGAUGUGAGGAAGGUGGGGAUGACGUCAAAUCAGCACGGCCCUUACGUCCGGGGCUACACACGUGUUACAAUGGGGGGUACAGAAGGCAGCUAGCGGGUGACCGUAUGCUAAUCCCAAAAGCCUCUCUCAGUUCGGAUCGAAGUCUGCAACCCGACUUCGUGAAGCUGGAUUCGCUAGUAAUCGCGCAUCAGCCACGGCGCGGUGAAUACGUUCCCGGGCCUUGUACACACCGCCCGUCAAGCCAUGGGAGCCGGGGGUACCUGAAGUACGUAACCGCAAGGAUCGUCCUAGGGUAAAACUGGUGA
RNAcentral lists this ribosomal RNA (1439 nucleotides) under uncultured organism. Its description in RNAcentral is "SSU rRNA". It matches the Rfam family "Bacterial small subunit ribosomal RNA". The record is from RNAcentral.